RNAcentral lists this ribosomal RNA (253 nucleotides) under uncultured bacterium. Its description in RNAcentral is "partial 16S ribosomal RNA". It matches the Rfam family "Bacterial small subunit ribosomal RNA", at positions 524 to 776 of the family's 1533-position model. The record is from RNAcentral.
UACGAAGGGGGCUAGCGUUGUUCGGAAUUACUGGGCGUAAAGGGCGCGUAGGCGGUACUUCAAGUCAGGCGUGAAAGCCCCGGGCUCAACCUGGGAACCGCGCUUGAGACUGGCAUGCUCGAGUUCGGGAGAGGAUGGUGGAAUUCCCAGUGUAGAGGUGAAAUUCGUAGAUAUUGGGAAGAACACCGAUGGCGAAGGCAGCCAUCUGGACCGACACUGACGCUGAGGCGCGAAAGCGUGGGGAGCAAACAGG